AGGAUCAGGGACCACAGGAGAAUCAGCAGAUGCAACUACAGAAGCCAAAACCAACAUUACAGGCAACACAGGCUUCAGAGAUGCUGGAUCAGGGGCCCCUACUGCACCAGCGAUAGAACCCAAAGAAGACACUACGCCCAGAGAACCAAGCACAGGAGCAGCAAGCCCAGGAAAUUCAGG
Molecule: long non-coding RNA, 180 nt
Organism: Phyllostomus discolor (pale spear-nosed bat)
Lineage: Eukaryota; Metazoa; Chordata; Mammalia; Chiroptera; Phyllostomidae
Exons: 2
Source: RefSeq, a predicted model, not a curated record